GCCCGGUUAGCUCAGUCGGUAGAGCAUCAGGCUUUUAACCUGAGGGUCAGGGGUUCAAGUCCCCUAUCGGGCG
This 73-nucleotide transfer RNA is filed under the name Branchiostoma floridae (Florida lancelet). RNAcentral's name for it is "tRNA-Lys (TTT) (tRNA-Lys-TTT-2-1)". It matches the Rfam family "tRNA". Rfam says of the family: Transfer RNA (tRNA) molecules are approximately 80 nucleotides in length. The record is from RNAcentral. Lineage: Eukaryota; Metazoa; Chordata; Leptocardii; Amphioxiformes; Branchiostomatidae. RNAcentral also lists the same sequence under 1 other name.